UGAACAAGCACGAAACCAAAGAGAAAAACAGAAAAUCUAAAAAAACAAAGAACAAAAACAGAAGCAAGGGAGCGAAGAAUUUGAUCAUCGCCACAGAAUUGUAUUUUGGAUGAUGACGAACAUUUUGUUG
RNAcentral lists this non-coding RNA (130 nucleotides) under Stephanopyxis turris. Lineage: Eukaryota; Bacillariophyta; Melosirophyceae; Stephanopyxales; Stephanopyxidaceae. The record is from RNAcentral.